ACAGCUGGGCCUGAGACAGAUGUAAACCCUGACCCUGACCGGCACCCCAGGUUUCUCCCUCCCUGAUGACAGCUGGGCCUGAGACAGAUGUAAACCCUGACCCUGCCCUUCACCCCAGGUUUCUCCCUCCCUGAUGACAGCUGGGCCUGAGACAGAUGUAAACCCUGACCCUGCCCGGCACCCCAGGUUUCUCCCUCCCUGAUGACAGCUGGGCCUGAGACAGAUGUAAACCCUGACCCUUCCCUACACCCCAGGUUUCUCCCUCCCUGUUGACAGCUGGGCCUGAGACAGAUGUAAACCCUGACCCUGACCGGCACCCCAGGUUUCUCCCUCCCUGUUGACAGCUGGGCCUGAGACAGAUGUAAACCCUGACCCUGCCCUACACCCCAGGUUUCUCCC
Oncorhynchus tshawytscha (Chinook salmon) is the source of this 399-nucleotide long non-coding RNA. NCBI's taxonomy places the organism in Eukaryota, Metazoa, Chordata, Actinopteri, Salmoniformes, Salmonidae. The record is from Ensembl.